ACUGGGAGGAGGCAUCCUGAGCAGCCUAGAUGGGUUAAGGAGACAGGUCUAAGUUUGGGGCGGCUGCAAGGGUACCGCGUCGGGUUUCAAGGGAAAGGAGCCUGCAGAACUGAAGCCUCCCUACUCCAGGAGAGCAACAGCAAUGCGUGCUGGGAGCUUGAGGGUCUCUGGAAAGAGAGGGAGCCCACAGCUGUGGGAGGGGCUGCCACUGCUGCUGCCGCUGCCGCUGCUGCCGCCGCUGCCGCCAUCGGACAAACCUCACCAGUACCUACAGUGAGAAACACCAAGGAUCACAGCACAACCUGAAUGGCAAGAAACAUGCUCCGUACCCCAGACUUUCCAACUAGUUCCCUACAUCCCCUGGGACACAGCCGUUACUCACUUCCUAUCUGGCCCCCGGAGGCUUUGGCCUGCCUGCUUACCCAGAUAGAGCAAUUCUUUACUGCCCUCUCUGGACCCCAAGUCUCCCUAAUCUGAGUGACAGACUGGCAUCCCUGGCCUUCCUGAGAUCCCCUAUUGGGCCCUUUGAACUCCCUUGUCCCACACAUCCCAUCCUGCCCCCCCAGCCAUGUCCCACGCCUUGCCUGGUGGGUGCAGGGGUCCCCCUCAGCAGGUAGGCUGUGGCUGGGGGGCAUCUCCCGGGAUAGGAGGGACGGCCCCCCCAAGAUGGGUCUGCAUGUGGCCGGCCAGCUGGGCAGGGGUCUUGCAGUGCACGCUGCACAGCUUGCACAGGAUGCGGUCAGCCCGCGGGGCCUGGAGCCCAUGGUCCUUCACUGCGUGGAUGCGCAGGGUGUGUGAUUGUUACACCCGUGCUGAUGGACUCCACUUGCCCCAGGAGCUGGAGACAAGAACUUGUGGCUGCAGAGUUGAAACCCCGGGGACUGGCUUUCUUGAGUACUCCUUUCCAAAGCAACCAUGUCCCACUUCACUGUCCCCAGGCACACCCAGGAGGUUGAGUCUCUGGCACUGUCUCCUCUGAGCCAUGGCACAGAAUUUAGUGAUGUCCAGUUACUUCCAAGGCUGGUGUGCUUGCUUCUUAAAGGGCUCUCUACAAGCCACGAGCUCUUGGCUACAGCGCCCUUAACCCACAUUAACCCACAUUCGUGGAAACCCCACCGCUGUGCCCCCCCCGCCCCCCCUGCCCUGACACCCCUUAGCUGCCCCCCCACGCUGCCCCUGUCCUCCUGACACCCCUUAGCUGCCCCCCACGCUGCCCCCGCCCUCCCGACACCCCUUAGCAUGUACCUUUGUUGCAGAGCUCACAGACAUGGUGAGGGCCCUGGCUGUGCACCUUCAUGUGGUCCGAAAUAUAAGCCGAGCUCAGCAUCUUGCCACACACA
Molecule: non-coding RNA, 1340 nt
Organism: Peromyscus maniculatus bairdii (prairie deer mouse)
Lineage: Eukaryota; Metazoa; Chordata; Mammalia; Rodentia; Cricetidae
Source: RefSeq, a predicted model, not a curated record